Molecule: long non-coding RNA, 354 nt
Organism: Daktulosphaira vitifoliae (grape phylloxera)
Lineage: Eukaryota; Metazoa; Arthropoda; Insecta; Hemiptera; Phylloxeridae
Exons: 2
Source: RefSeq, a predicted model, not a curated record
CAAUAUUACCCAAUUCCUAGUCAUUUUGUUAAUAAAUUUAAUAUGCUCGCUUAUAUAUUUAAAAAAUUUGAUCAACAUAAAACCGGAAGAAUCACUAUUGAUUAUUUCAUGUAUAUCAUCAAAAAAGUUCUUGUUAAUGAUAUAGUACAAGCACAUAUAUUAAAGAGUUUAUCUGGCGUAAAAGACGUUUGUUAUGAAGCAUGGUUAUUGAAAAAAAGAAAAGAUGUGUAUGAAAGCCAAUAUGGUCUGAAAGGCUUAUAUAUGAAAUUUAUAACUUCGAUAGCAUAGAAAAAAAAGUUUUUAAUUUAUAUAAAAGUACUUGUUUUUUAAAAUAAAUCAUAUAAUUACCAAAUA